ACUCCUACGGGAGGCAGCAGCAAGGAAUUUUCCCCAAUGGGCGAAAGCCUGAGGGAGCAACGCCGCGUGGAGGACGACGGCCUUCAGGUUGUAAACUCCUUUUAGGUGGGACGAGGCCGGGACGGUACCCCAGGAAUAAGCCCCGGCUAACUACGUGCCAGCAGCCGCGGUAAAACGUAGGAGGCGAGCGUUAUCCGGAUUCACUGGGCGUAAAGCGCGUGUAGGCGGCAUGGUAAGUCGGCGCUGAAAGCUCCCGGCUUAACCGGGGGAUGCCGUCCAAUACUAUCGGGCUUCAGGCCAGUAGAGGGGGGUGGAAUUCCGGGUGUAGCGGUGAAAUGCGUAGAUAUCCGGAGGAACACCAGUGGCGAAGGCGGCCCCCUGGGCUGUGCCUGACGCUGAGGCGCGAAAGCUAGGGGAGCAAACCGGAUUAGAUACCCCGGCAGUCCUGGCCGUAAACGAUGGAGGCUCGGUGUGGGAGGCCGUGACUCGCUGGGUGCCUUAGCUAACGCGCCAAGUAUGCCGCCUGGGGACUACGGCCGCAAGCUCAAAACUCAAAGGAAUUGACGG
Molecule: ribosomal RNA, 567 nt
Filed under: uncultured bacterium
Lineage: Bacteria
Description: bacterial SSU rRNA
Rfam family: Bacterial small subunit ribosomal RNA
Source: RNAcentral